UAUUAACUAUUGUUUUUUAUAAUAAAAAUUAAUUUAAUUUAAAUUUCCUUAAAUAAUAAUUUUAAAACUGAAAAGGAUUUUUUAGUAAAAAAAAAAAAGAAAAAAAAUUUACCUUUGGCAUUAGGGAUUUUCCAAAAAAAAAAAAAAUUUUAUUUUCCCGAAAUAAUUUGAGCUAAAAUCGUAAAUUAAUUUAUAUUUCAAUAUAAAUAAAAUUCAAUUUUAGAUGUGAAAUUCUUUUCAAAAAUUAAGAUAUCUGGUUAAUUAAACGUAUACUUUAAGUAUUUCUAUAAAUAAAAUUAAUGUAAAAUUUUAUAGAAAAUUAAUUUUGGGAUAAGCUAAAAUUAUAAAUUUAAAUCUUUAAAGUAGGAAACAAAAAGAUUAAAAUUUUCUUUUCUAUUUUCAUAAAUAUGUUUACUUUAAAAGUUAAAAUAUUUAAUAAAUUUAAUAAAUUUAAUUUAAAAUUUAAAUAAAAAUGAAAGUAUUAGUAAAAGUUUAAUUAAAUUAAUAAUUUAAUAUUUAAAAUUCAACAGAAAAAUAAUUUUUAGGAAUUCAGCAAAAAAUUUUUUUAACUGUUUAAUAAAAACAUUUCAUUUAGCUAAGGUCAUUAAAUGUAAUUUCUGCUCAAUGAAAAUUUUUAAUUGCUGUAGUAUUUUGACUAUACAAAGGUAUUGUAAUAAGAUUUUAAUUGAAUGCUAAGAGAAUGGAAAUUUAAAAAAAGGCUUUUUUAAAAAUAAAAAUUGAAUUUUUUUUAAUUUGUGCAAAAACAAUUAUUUCUAUUAAAGACAAGAAGACCCUAAGAAUUUAUGAUUUUACAAUAAAAAAAAUUUUAUUUUAAAAUCUUGAUUGGGGCGAUCAAAAAAUAUUAAUAACUUUUAAAAAUUUAAACUGAUCUAUUAUUAAUAAACUAAUGAAUUAAAUACUCUAGGGAUAACAGCGUAAUAAUUUUCGAUAGAUCUUAUUGACAAAAUAGUUUGCGACCUCGAUGUUGGAUUAGGAUUCUUUUUUAAUGAAGAAGUUAAAAAAAGAAGUUUGUUCAACUUUUAAAUUCCUACAUGAUCUGAGUUUAGACCGAUGAGAAUCAGGUUGGAUUCUAUCUUAAUAAAAAAAAUUUUUUAGUUAGUACGAAAGGAAUUCUAAAAUUUAAUUAUUAAGGUAAACAACUUUAUUUGCAUCAAUUUUUGUAAUU
This 1186-nucleotide ribosomal RNA is filed under the name Hyalomma truncatum. RNAcentral's name for it is "16S ribosomal RNA". The stretch from base 927 to 1085 matches the Rfam family "Archaeal large subunit ribosomal RNA", at positions 2544 to 2703 of the family's 2987-position model. Lineage: Eukaryota; Metazoa; Arthropoda; Arachnida; Ixodida; Ixodidae. The record is from RNAcentral.